AGAAAUUUAGGUUAACCAAACCAAAGGCCUUCAAAGCCCUAAAUAUGAGACGCACCUCUUAAUUUCUG
Molecule: transfer RNA, 68 nt
Filed under: Gehyra oceanica (Pacific dtella)
Lineage: Eukaryota; Metazoa; Chordata; Lepidosauria; Squamata; Gekkonidae
Description: tRNA-Trp
Source: RNAcentral